RNAcentral lists this transfer RNA (74 nucleotides) under Novosphingobium sp. RNAcentral's name for it is "tRNA-Thr". It matches the Rfam family "tRNA". Rfam says of the family: Transfer RNA (tRNA) molecules are approximately 80 nucleotides in length. Their secondary structure includes four short double-helical elements and three loops (D, anti-codon, and T loops). Lineage: Bacteria; Pseudomonadati; Pseudomonadota; Alphaproteobacteria; Sphingomonadales; Sphingomonadaceae. The record is from RNAcentral.
GCGCCUAUAGCUCAGCUGGAUAGAGCAGGUUCUUCGUAGGUCCCCGGUCCCGGGUUCGAAUCCCGGUAGGCGCU